CUUACUCUUCUUCUUCUUCUUCUCUUUUAAGUUUAUUCUUGUAGUUCUAAAUUCAGUUCUUCUAAUUUCUAAACUUAUUGUACCUUUGUUGAAUCUUCAUCCACAUUUUGUUUUAAUGCUAAAACUUUGUUGAUUUCCAAAAAUGAACCAAAUUAGGGGAUGUACGUUCGACAGGUGAGAGUCUUCAACAAGUGAGAUAGAUGGAAGAAGGAGAAGUGAGCAAGCAUAGAUGUGACACUAGAUAUACAUGGUUCACCUGAAUGGGCUUCGUCCACGAAACUGGAGAUGUUCGCAUUAUGAUAAUUGUUGUUUAAAUAGUACUUUGCCAUGGUCUUAGAGAGCCUCAACGUAGGGAAAAAAACUUAGUUGCAACCGGGAUAGUGCUGCAAAAUAGUGUUAUCCCCAUUUCAUAGAAGUCUUUCUCCAAAAUAUAAGAGUGGUCUCCUUUUAUAGGUGAGGGAUGGUUCCUCUUCUUGUUAUCUUUCGUUCUAGGCCUCCUUGGCAUUUCUGGUGAGGACACAUGGCUGCGCUCCAUUGGCUCCACUGUCUGAGUUGGU
This 557-nucleotide long non-coding RNA is filed under the name Prunus persica (peach). Its description in RNAcentral is "long non-coding RNA (PPER_LNC005846)". Lineage: Eukaryota; Viridiplantae; Streptophyta; Magnoliopsida; Rosales; Rosaceae. The record is from RNAcentral.